Pelobates cultripes (western spadefoot toad) is the source of this 349-nucleotide non-coding RNA. The record is from the annotation of a GenBank genome assembly. NCBI's taxonomy places the organism in Eukaryota, Metazoa, Chordata, Amphibia, Anura, Pelobatidae.
GGCACAUACACUGACAGACAUACUGACACACACAGAUACAUACACUGUCAGAUAUACUGACAUACACUCACAGACAUACUGACACACACAGAGAUACAGACACUGUCAAACAUACUGACAUACACACAUACACUAUCAGACAUACUGACAUACACAGACACACACAGACAUACUGACAUACACAGACACAUACACUGUCAGACAUACUGACACACACACACACACACACACUAUCAGACAUACUGACAUACACAGACAAACUGUCAGACAUACUGACACACAAACACACACAGACAUACUGACACACACAGACACAUACACUAUCAGACAUACUGACACACAUACUGAC